This 494-nucleotide ribosomal RNA is filed under the name uncultured bacterium. RNAcentral describes it as "partial 16S ribosomal RNA". It matches the Rfam family "Bacterial small subunit ribosomal RNA", at positions 28 to 507 of the family's 1533-position model. The record is from RNAcentral.
GACGAACGCUGGCGGCGCGCUUAACACAUGCAAGUCGAACGGAAAGGCCUGCUUUCCCUUGUGGAUUGCGGGUACUCGAGUGGCGAACGGGUGAGUAACACGUGAGUGAUCUGCCCCCAACUUGGGUAUAAGCCUGGGAAACUGGGUCUAAUUCCCGAUAGGACUGCAGGGUGGUGCCUGUGGUGGAAAACGAUUUUCUAGUGGUUGGGGAUGAGCUCGCGGCCUAUCAGCUUGUUGGCGGGGUAAUGGCCUACCAAGGCGGCGACGGGUAGCCGGCCUGGGAGGGGGGACGGGCACAUUGGGACUGAGAUACGGCCCAGACUCCUACGGGAGGCAGCAGUGGGGAAUAUUGCACAAUGGGCGGAAGCCUGAUGCAGCGACGCCGCGUGGGGGAUGACGGCCUUCGGGUUGUAAACUCCUUUCGACCGCGAGGAAGCCACCUGGUUGGAAGGGUGGUGACGGUAGUGGUAGAAGAAGCACCGGCUAACUACGUG